This 491-nucleotide ribosomal RNA is filed under the name uncultured bacterium. RNAcentral's name for it is "partial 16S ribosomal RNA". It matches the Rfam family "Bacterial small subunit ribosomal RNA", at positions 29 to 506 of the family's 1533-position model. The record is from RNAcentral.
AGUGAACGCUGGCGGUAGGCCUAACACAUGCAAGUCGAACGGCAGCACAGUAAGAGCUUGCUCUUACGGGUGGCGAGUGGCGGACGGGUGAGGAAUACAUCGGAAUCUACUUUUUCGUGGGGGAUAACGUAGGGAAACUUACGCUAAUACCGCAUACGACCUACGGGUGAAAGCAGGGGAUCUUCGGACCUUGCGCGAUUGAAUGAGCCGAUGUCGGAUUAGCUAGUUGGCGGGGUAAAGGCCCACCAAGGCGACGAUCCGUAGCUGGUCUGAGAGGAUGAUCAGCCCAACUGGAACUGAGACACGGCCCAGACUCCUAGGGGAGGCAGCAGGGGGGAAUAUUGGACAAUGGGCGCAAGCCUGAUCCAGCCAUACCGCGUGGGUGAAGAAGGCCUUCGGGUUGUAAAGCCCUUUUGUUGGGAAAGAAAAGAAGCAGGUUAAUACCCCGCUGUUCUGACGGUACCCAAAGAAUAAGCACCGGCUAAUUUCGU